RNAcentral lists this long non-coding RNA (331 nucleotides) under Oryza sativa aus subgroup. RNAcentral describes it as "lncRNA OsNaBo_11g0015840". The record is from RNAcentral. Lineage: Eukaryota; Viridiplantae; Streptophyta; Magnoliopsida; Poales; Poaceae.
AUUUCUAGUAAUGUCGUUAAGAAAUACCAACAGCGACGCCGCCGGCACCAUCCGCCAGCAUGGCGCUGGGGGACGAGGUCCCUCCUCCGUCUUCCGCCGCCCCCGACACCGACCUACACCCGCCGCCAUCCAGGCCGACGGGGCCCCGCUUCCUGCCAUCCGCCAGGGAGCCGGCCUCGGCGCCCCCCACCGGCCGAGAUCGGUUUGCGUCGCCCAUGCCAUCGUUUCACUCAGAUCAAGGAUGUUGUUUUGCUGUCCCAGGCUACAACGACAUUGUCCAACAUCGUCGUCUGCCCGUCAUCACCGACGUCUUGGCGCCGUGGUCACCAUA